This 1512-nucleotide ribosomal RNA is filed under the name Neisseria zalophi. RNAcentral describes it as "Neisseria sp. CSL 7565 16S ribosomal RNA". It matches the Rfam family "Bacterial small subunit ribosomal RNA". The record is from RNAcentral. Lineage: Bacteria; Pseudomonadati; Pseudomonadota; Betaproteobacteria; Neisseriales; Neisseriaceae.
AACGCUGGCGGCAUGCUUUACACAUGCAAGUCGAACGGCAGCACGGAAGAGCUUGCUCUUUUGGUGGCGAGUGGCGAACGGGUGAGUAAUGCAUCGGAACGUACCGAGUAGUGGGGGAUAACUGUCCGAAAGGAUGGCUAAUACCGCAUACGCUUUGAGAAGGAAAGCGGGGGCUCUUAGGACCUCGCGCUAUUCGAGCGGCCGAUGUCUGAUUAGCUAGUUGGUGGGGUAAGAGCCUACCAAGGCGACGAUCAGUAGCGGGUCUGAGAGGAUGAUCCGCCACACUGGGACUGAGACACGGCCCAGACUCCUACGGGAGGCAGCAGUGGGGAAUUUUGGACAAUGGGGGCAACCCUGAUCCAGCCAUGCCGCGUGUCUGAAGAAGGCCUUCGGGUUGUAAAGGACUUUUGUCAGGGAAGAAAGGGUUUGUGCUAAUACCACGAACAUAUGACGGUACCUGAAGAAUAAGCACCGGCUAACUACGUGCCAGCAGCCGCGGUAAUACGUAGGGUGCGAGCGUUAAUCGGAAUUACUGGGCGUAAAGCGGGCGCAGACGGUUACUUAAGUCAGAUGUGAAAUCCCCGGGCUCAACCUGGGAACUGCGUUUGAAACUGGGUAGCUAGAGUAUGUCAGAGGGGGGUAGAAUUCCACGUGUAGCAGUGAAAUGCGUAGAGAUGUGGAGGAAUACCGAUGGCGAAGGCAGCCCCCUGGGAUAAUACUGACGUUCAUGCCCGAAAGCGUGGGUAGCAAACAGGAUUAGAUACCCUGGUAGUCCACGCCCUAAACGAUGUCAAUUAGCUGUUGGGGCACUUGAUGCCUUAGUAGCGUAGCUAACGCGUGAAAUUGACCGCCUGGGGAGUACGGUCGCAAGAUUAAAACUCAAAGGAAUUGACGGGGACCCGCACAAGCGGUGGAUGAUGUGGAUUAAUUCGAUGCAACGCGAAGAACCUUACCUGGUCUUGACAUGUACGGAAUCCUCCAGAGACGGAGGAGUGCCUUCGGGAGCCGUAACACAGGUGCUGCAUGGCUGUCGUCAGCUCGUGUCGUGAGAUGUUGGGUUAAGUCCCGCAACGAGCGCAACCCUUGUCAUUAGUUGCCAUCAUUAAGUUGGGCACUCUAAUGAGACUGCCGGUGACAAGCCGGAGGAAGGUGGGGAUGACGUCAAGUCCUCAUGGCCCUUAUGACCAGGGCUUCACACGUCAUACAAUGGUCGGUACAGAGGGUAGCCAAGCCGCGAGGUGGAGCCAAUCUCAUAAAACCGAUCGUAGUCCGGAUUGCACUCUGCAACUCGAGUGCAUGAAGUCGGAAUCGCUAGUAAUCGCAGGUCAGCAUACUGCGGUGAAUACGUUCCCGGGUCUUGUACACACCGCCCGUCACACCAUGGGAGUGGGGGAUACCAGAAGUAGGUAGGGUAACCGCAAGGAGCCCGCUUACCACGGUAUGCUUCAUGACUGGGGUGAAGUCGUAACAAGGUAGCCGUAGGGGAACCUGCGGCUGGAUCACCUCCUUUCU